RNAcentral lists this ribosomal RNA (451 nucleotides) under uncultured bacterium. RNAcentral's name for it is "partial 16S ribosomal RNA". It matches the Rfam family "Bacterial small subunit ribosomal RNA", at positions 354 to 796 of the family's 1533-position model. The record is from RNAcentral.
GUGGGGAAUAUUGGACAAUGGGGGGAACCCUGAUCCAGCCAUGCCGCGUGUGUGAAGAAGGCCUUUUGGUUGUAAAGCACUUUAAGCGAGGAGGAGGCUACCGAGAUUAAUACUCUUGGAUAGUGGACGUUACUCGCAGAAUAAGCACCGGCUAACUCUGUGCCAGCAGCCGCGGUAAUACAGAGGGUGCAAGCGUUAAUCGGAUUUACUGGGCGUAAAGCGCGCGUAGGUGGCCAAUUAAGUCAAAUGUGAAAUCCCCGAGCUUAACUUGGGAAUUGCAUUCGAUACUGGUUUGCUAGAGUAUGGGAGAGGAUGGUAGAAUUCCAGGUGUAGCGGUGAAAUGCGUAGAGAUCUGGAGGAAUACCGAUGGCGAAGGCAGCCAUCUGGCCUAAUACUGACACUGGGGUGCGAAAGCAUGGGGAGCAAACAGGAUUAGAUACCCGGGUAGUCC